Molecule: ribosomal RNA, 440 nt
Filed under: uncultured bacterium
Lineage: Bacteria
Description: partial 16S ribosomal RNA
Rfam family: Bacterial small subunit ribosomal RNA
Source: RNAcentral
CUACGGGUGGCUCCAGUGAGGAAUAUUGCACAAUGGGGGGAACCCUGAUGCAGCAACGCCGCGUGGAGGAUGACGCAUUUCGGUGUGUAAACUCCUUUUAUAUGUCAAGAAAAUGACGGUAGCAUAUGAAUAAGCACCGGCUAACUCCGUGCCAGCAGCCGCGAGUAAUACGGAGGGUGCAAGCGUUACUCGGAAUCACUGGGCGUAAAGGACGCGUAGGCGGGUUGGAAAGUCAGGUGUGAAAUCCUACAGCUUAACUGUAGAACUGCACUUGAAACUUCUAAUCUAGAGUAUGGGAGGGGGAGAUGGAAUUAGUGGUGUAGGGGUAAAAUCCGUAGAUAUCACUAGGAAUACCUAAAGCGAAGGCGAUCUCCUGGAACAUUACUGACGCUAAGGCGUGAAAGCGUGGGGAGCAAACAGGAUUAGAUACCCCAGUAGUC